Gigantopelta aegis is the source of this 382-nucleotide long non-coding RNA. RefSeq lists it as uncharacterized. The record is from RefSeq and is a predicted model, not a curated record. Lineage: Eukaryota; Metazoa; Mollusca; Gastropoda; Neomphalida; Peltospiridae. The transcript is spliced from 3 exons.
ACAAAACUUCUCUUGCCAGUUGGCACUGGGAGAGAUACAUGGACUGCAGCUACUGCUCAUCUGCUCCAGAUAAUGCUUCAAGAUAAUUAAGCUACACAAAGUUUCUCAUCUUCAAAGUAAACAGAAAGGACACAAAAGUACCAGUUAUGUCCGACUACCAGACAGGUCAAACACUGAGAUGACCCUCUGUGUCAGAGAUUACACUCAUCAUCAGCUAACAUGCUUUACUUGAUUAUUAUCGGAGUUGGUCCUAAAGGAGGUUGACGAACCCUUAGAAUACGUGUUGAAGAGUCUGUAUUGAUGUCGUGAGACUGACCAAGUCUUGAUAAUAUGGUUACGGUUGUUGUUAUAAUAAAGCUCGUCUGGCCAUAUUUGGCACUGA